This 189-nucleotide ribosomal RNA is filed under the name uncultured eukaryote. Its description in RNAcentral is "partial 18S ribosomal RNA". It matches the Rfam family "Eukaryotic small subunit ribosomal RNA", at positions 1299 to 1458 of the family's 1831-position model. The record is from RNAcentral.
UGGUGGAGUGAUUUGUCUGCUUAAUUGCGAUAACGAACGAGAUCUCUGCCAAUAAAUAGAUGCUGCCUCCACAUCGUAGGCCGUGUGGGUGUCGUGUUUUUCGCGGCAUUUUCGCUAGGCUGAGGAGGUAGAAGUUUACUUAUUGGGAUUAUGCAUCCUCUAAAUGCAUUGAGACGAGAGCCAAUAGCA